GAUGAACGCUGGCGGCGUGCUUAACACAUGCAAGUCGAGCGAGAAGUUUUGAAAAGAUUCUUCGGAUGAAAUUUAAAAUGGAAAGCGGCGGACGGGUGAGUAACGCGUAGGCAACCUGCCCCAUACAAAGGGAUAGCAUUUGGAAACGAAUAUUAAUACCUUAUGAAACUUAACUAGUGCAUGCUAGGUAGGUCAAAGAUUUAUCGGUAUGGGAUGGGCCUGCGUCUGAUUAGCUAGUUGGUGAGGUAACGGCUCACCAAGGCGACGACCAGUAGCCGACCUGAGAGGGUGAACGGCCACAUUGGAACUGAGACACGGUCCAAACUCCUACGGGAGGCAGCAGUGGGGAAUAUUGCACAAUGGGGGAAACCCUGAUGCAGCAACGCCGCGUGAACGAUGAAGGCCUUUGGGUCGUAAAGUUCUGUUCUAGGUGAUGAAAACUGACAGUAACCUAGGAGAAAGCCCCGGCUAACUCCGUG
RNAcentral lists this ribosomal RNA (479 nucleotides) under uncultured bacterium. RNAcentral describes it as "partial 16S ribosomal RNA". It matches the Rfam family "Bacterial small subunit ribosomal RNA", at positions 28 to 507 of the family's 1533-position model. The record is from RNAcentral.